Molecule: ribosomal RNA, 263 nt
Filed under: uncultured archaeon
Lineage: Archaea
Description: partial 16S ribosomal RNA
Rfam family: Archaeal small subunit ribosomal RNA
Source: RNAcentral
AGUCACUGACAUUAGAUACCCGGGUAGUCCAGGGUGUAAACGCUGCAGACUUGGUGUUGGAGGUCCUUUGGGGGCAUUCAGUGCCGGAGAGAAGUUGUUAAGUCUGCUACUUGGGAGUACGUCCGCAAGGAUGAAACUUAAAGGAAUUGCGGGGGAGCACCGCAACGGGAGGAGCCUGCGGUUUAAUUGGACUCAACGCCGGAAAUCUCACCGGAUAGGACAGACAUAUGAUAGUCGGGCUGAAGACUCUACUUGAUGAUCUG